AAGACCUUGCACUUUUGGAGCGGCCGAUGUCUGAUUAGCUAGUUGGUAAGGUAAAAGCUUACCAAGGCUUCGAUCAGUAGCUGGUCUGAGAGGACGACCAGCCACACUGGGACUGAGACACGGCCCAGACUCCUACGGGAGGCAGCAGUGGGGAAUUUUGGACAAUGGGGGCAACCCUGAUCCAGCCAUGCCGCGUGAGUGAAGAAGGCCUUCGGGUUGUAAAGCUCUUUCGGCCGGAACGAAAUCGAUCGGGCUAAUACCUCGGUUGGAUGACGGUACCGGAAGAAGAAGCACCGGCUAACUACGUGCCAGCAGCCGCGGUAAUACGUAGGGUGCGAGCGUUAAUCGGAAUUACUGGGCGUAAAGCGUGCGCAGGUGGUUUUGUAAGUCAGAUGUGAAAGCCCCGGGCUCAACCUGGGAACU
Molecule: ribosomal RNA, 423 nt
Filed under: uncultured bacterium
Lineage: Bacteria
Description: bacterial SSU rRNA
Rfam family: Bacterial small subunit ribosomal RNA
Source: RNAcentral